UCGGCGCAGGCCAGCGUCGGUUCGAGUGGGAGGAUAAAGGCGUCUGGAAUGUGGCUCCUCCGGGAGUGUUAUAGCCAGACGUGCCAUGCUCCCGCCCGGACCGAGGUACGCGUUCUGCAAGGACGCUGGCGUAAUGGU
Molecule: ribosomal RNA, 138 nt
Filed under: Chloridium gonytrichii
Lineage: Eukaryota; Fungi; Ascomycota; Sordariomycetes; Chaetosphaeriales; Chaetosphaeriaceae
Description: partial large subunit ribosomal RNA
Source: RNAcentral